AUGGACGUCGCGCAGGAAGCGCAGAUUAGCCAACAGGGAUACGCUGGAUUGCCGCCAGGAUGGUGGCGCAGAUCAAGGAUGUCAGGACUCAGUCUGCAAAAGCCCCGCGACAGCGGGGUUUU
Molecule: small RNA, 122 nt
Filed under: Pseudomonas taeanensis
Lineage: Bacteria; Pseudomonadati; Pseudomonadota; Gammaproteobacteria; Pseudomonadales; Pseudomonadaceae
Also listed under: 1 other name
Source: RNAcentral